Molecule: ribosomal RNA, 443 nt
Filed under: uncultured bacterium
Lineage: Bacteria
Description: partial 16S ribosomal RNA
Rfam family: Bacterial small subunit ribosomal RNA
Source: RNAcentral
GAUGAACGCUGGCGGCAUGCCUAACACAUGCAAGUCGAUCGGUAAGGCUCUUCGGAGUACACGAGAGGCGGACGGCUGAGUAACGCGUAGGAACACACCCUGCAGUGAGGGAUAAGACACCGAAAGGUGUUCUAAUACCGCAUACGGUCUUCGGAUUAAAGCAUUUAUGCGCUGAAGGAGUGGCCUGCGUCAUAUUAGAUAGUUGGUGAGGUAAUGGCUCACCAAGUCGAUGAUGUGUAGCUGGUCUGAGAGGAUGAUCAGCCAGACUGGAACUGAGACACGGUCCAGACUCCUACGGGAGGCAGCAGUGAGGAAUAUUUCACAAUGAGCGAAAGCUUGAUGGAGCAAUGCCGCGUGCAGGAUGAAGGACCUCGGGUUGUAAACUGCUUUUAUAAGAGAAGAUUAUGACGGUAACUUAUGAAUAAGGGACGGCUAACUACGUG